UGCAUUGUUAAAAAUGGAUUCAAUGU
Molecule: non-coding RNA, 26 nt
Filed under: Homo sapiens (human)
Lineage: Eukaryota; Metazoa; Chordata; Mammalia; Primates; Hominidae
Source: RNAcentral